UGCCUGCUGUGGGACUUGCUGCACAGAAAUAAACACCUGUGUCUGACUCCUCAGCCUGACUGAUAGUGAGAGAUAUAUUCUCCAUUUUCAGUCUUGCAGGUGAGCUGGACAUCAUCAUUGAGUUUUCCAAAGAGAGAAGAUGGGGACUGCUGUACAGUGAUGGCUCCUGAGAACCC
This is a long non-coding RNA of Anguilla rostrata (American eel), 176 nucleotides long. RefSeq lists it as uncharacterized. The record is from RefSeq and is a predicted model, not a curated record. The transcript has 2 exons. NCBI's taxonomy places the organism in Eukaryota, Metazoa, Chordata, Actinopteri, Anguilliformes, Anguillidae.